AUUUGAUGGUUCAAUUAUUCAUUUUGAUUAAUAAAUUUUGGUUUAAUGUCGGUCAUUCAGUUUUGUUCAUCUUUUAUUUUACAUAUGAACUGACCCGAUUUUAGUCAUGGGUCACAGGUAGUUUGCUCUUAUUCGAUAACUAUGCAUUCAGGCCCUUUACCUUCUUGAAAUAUUCCUUUUCUUCUCUGCUUCAUUUUGCAGUGCCCUGCUCAAUCACUUUUCCAGUUAUUAAAUAGAAAUAAUGGAAUUAGAAGUCUACAAAUCAGAUUUUGUAUUCAAUCUGCAAUAUUG
This 291-nucleotide unclassified non-coding RNA is filed under the name Hevea brasiliensis (rubber tree). Lineage: Eukaryota; Viridiplantae; Streptophyta; Magnoliopsida; Malpighiales; Euphorbiaceae. The record is from RNAcentral.